UUUUUUUUUUUUUUUUUCAUCUUCAAUUGUUAUCAUCACUUGUUGUUUAGUUGGAUGUUCCUUCAAUUGGAUUCCGUUCCUUACAGUUGGACAGAAGUACUAAAGUUUUGCUUUACCAGGUGAAAAUAACACCGUUACUUCUCUUAAUGCUUUUUGAAUGAGUAUUACCGGUGAUUCAUUUGCUUAUUUGCUUAACAUUUAAAUCAUUUGGAUUACUUUUUGAGAAUG
This 228-nucleotide unclassified non-coding RNA is filed under the name Hevea brasiliensis (rubber tree). Lineage: Eukaryota; Viridiplantae; Streptophyta; Magnoliopsida; Malpighiales; Euphorbiaceae. The record is from RNAcentral.